This 228-nucleotide long non-coding RNA is filed under the name Elaeis guineensis (African oil palm). RNAcentral's name for it is "long non-coding RNA (EGUI_LNC052589)". The record is from RNAcentral. Lineage: Eukaryota; Viridiplantae; Streptophyta; Magnoliopsida; Arecales; Arecaceae.
AAUGAUACUGCAAUAAUGAGUGGAUAAUUAAAAAUGACAUAAACUCAGUGCCAUAGUCUGUUAGUGUAAAAUACAUGUCUGACUAACACCCUAGAUUAGAUAAUGUCACUGAAGCCUACCUUUGAUAUAGUUGACUUAGUCACCUUUUAUUGGAAAGGGUGUAUGAGCCAGAGAUGUUCUGAGUUUGGUACAUAUUAAUGUAUUUGCACUCAUGAACAUAAAUGCCAG